UACGGAGGGUCCAAGCGUUAUCCGGAAUCAUUGGGUUUAAAGGGUGCGCAGGCGGUUUAAUAAGUCAGUGGUGAAAUCUCAGAGCUUAACUCUGAAACUGCCAUUGAUACUGUUAGACUUGAGUUCAGUUGGAGUAGGCGGAAUGUGUAGUGUAGCGGUGAAAUGCUUAGAUAUUACACAGAACACCGAUAGCGAAGGCA
Molecule: ribosomal RNA, 200 nt
Filed under: uncultured bacterium
Lineage: Bacteria
Description: partial 16S ribosomal RNA
Rfam family: Bacterial small subunit ribosomal RNA
Source: RNAcentral